GAUGAACGCUGGCGGCGUGCCUAAUACAUGCAAGUCGAGCGAACAGAUGAGGAGCUUGCUCCUCUGACGUUAGCGGCGGACGGGUGAGUAACACGUGGAUAACCUACCUAUAAGACUGGGAUAACUUCGGGAAACCGGAGCUAAUACCGGAUAAUAUAUUGAACCGCAUGGUUCAAUAGUGAAAGACGGUUUUGCUGUCACUUAUAGAUGGAUCCGCGCCGCAUUAGCUAGUUGGUAAGGUAACGGCUUACCAAGGCAACGAUGCGUAGCCGACCUGAGAGGGUGAUCGGCCACACUGGAACUGAGACGCGGUCCAGACUCCUACGGGAGGCAGCAGUAGGGAAUCUUCCGCAAAGGGCGAAAGCCUGACGGAGCAACGCCGCGUGAGUGAUGAAGGUCUUCGGAUCGUAAAACUCUGUUAUUAGGGAAGAACAAAUGUGUAAGUAACUAUGCACGUCUUGACGGUACCUAAUCAGAAAGCCACGGCUAACUACGUG
RNAcentral lists this ribosomal RNA (497 nucleotides) under uncultured bacterium. Its description in RNAcentral is "partial 16S ribosomal RNA". It matches the Rfam family "Bacterial small subunit ribosomal RNA", at positions 28 to 507 of the family's 1533-position model. The record is from RNAcentral.